GACGAACGCUGGCGGCGUGCUUAACACAUGCAAGUCGAACGGAAAGGCCCUGCUUUUGUGGGGUGCUCGAGUGGCGAACGGGUGAGUAACACGUGAGUAACCUGCCCUUGACUUUGGGAUAACUUCAGGAAACUGGGGCUAAUACCGGAUAGGAGCUCCUGCUGCAUGGUGGGGGUUGGAAAGUUUCGGCGGUUGGGGAUGGACGCGCGGCUUAUCAGCUUGUUGGUGGGGUAGUGGCUUACCAAGGCUUUGACGGGUAGCCGGCCUGAGAGGGUGACCGGCCACAUUGGGACUGAGAUACGGACCAGACUCGUACGGGAGGCAGCAGUGGGGAAUAUUGCACAGUGGGCGGAAGCCUGAUGCAGAGACGCCGCGUGCGGGAUGACCGCCUGCGGGUUGCAAACCGCUUUCGCCUGUGACGAAGCGUGAGUGACGGUAAUGGGUAAAGAAGCACCGGCUAACUACGUG
RNAcentral lists this ribosomal RNA (468 nucleotides) under uncultured bacterium. RNAcentral's name for it is "partial 16S ribosomal RNA". It matches the Rfam family "Bacterial small subunit ribosomal RNA", at positions 28 to 507 of the family's 1533-position model. The record is from RNAcentral.